AGAUUUUGUGUCCACUCAUAUUUGCAUCAAACGUAUUCAUACCACGCAAACACUAGACCGGGAAGUGGUUCUACGGAGCAUACGUCAACGCCGACGUGUAAACAAAGUCAAAUCGGUAUUCCAAACACUGUUUGGUUUCCCGUUAACAAGCAAAAAAACACGAUGGUAAUUGCGAUCAAGAUCCCGAUGAUGCUUCAACAGUGCCUUGACGUUGGUUUGUAAGUUGUAACUUAUAUAUAUAAAAGUGAUAAGUCAUAAGUAUGGGUCCUUCAAU
Arabidopsis thaliana (thale cress) is the source of this 274-nucleotide long non-coding RNA. RefSeq annotates it as other RNA. The transcript has a single exon. Lineage: Eukaryota; Viridiplantae; Streptophyta; Magnoliopsida; Brassicales; Brassicaceae. The record is from RefSeq.